CCGCCCCUACGCCCUCCCCAAAUGUUAUACUUGUGUUUAUGAUGUUAGAGUAUGAUAGUAAAAAAAAUGACCUUAGAGUAUAGGAUUACCGCGCUUAGUGUGUUUACUCGGUCUCGUCUCGUGCCCCCUCUGCUCCGGCGUCAGCUAGGGUAGAAUAGAAGUAGGACAAAUGGGACCGUGGGUGUCAUAUGCAGUGGACGAGUCGUCCCGGUCCAGUCUUUUUCCGUUUACCUUCGUUAGGUUGCCCGACGGCCGCGCGGGCUAGCCAGCCUCUAGUUUAGUUUGCGGCUUGGGCGCGCUUUCGUGCCAGUUAGUAACCGGUUAGCUGCCGAUAUUCGGGGGGCGGGGUAGAAGGGGCGGCUAGUAGGAGGGUAGUGUAGCGCGGCCAGUCACCAGUGAGCGCGGCAUUAGUGUGCGCGGAAGGCAUUGUGAGCCCGCUCCUCGCCUUCGGUGCUCUUCGGCUCUCGUGCGUGCGCGCGUGCGCUGCGGUUGAUUGCGCGGAGGGGGUGCAAAGGUCCCUCGAGCGGUGCAGACUGGUUGGUCGGUUGGUUGGUUGGUGGUGGGGCACGACCGGGCCUCUUGAGGCUGCUCCUGCCCUGCCUCGACUUGGCCCUCCGCGCCGGCGCCGCUACCGGCCCACCGCCCGGAUCCGCCCCCUCGCCGCUCGCGUACCGCAGCAGCUCCCACUACCGCAGCAGCAGCAGCUUCGGCGGCAGCGUGUGCCGCAGCCUAGAGCGCGCGAAGCGCGUCCGUCGACCCUCCGGGCCGCCGCCCCCGCCGUCGCCCGACCCCAGGUACUUGCACCUCCUCGACGAGGCGCCGUAGAUGCCGCUGCGGGGGUGCGGCCGCGGGCUGGCCGGCCGCAGCGGGGGGCAGGGCGGCGAGGGCCGCGGUAGCGCCGUUGUCCGCUGGCGCGCCGCCUGCCGCCUGCUCCACACCUCUCUCUAGUGGCCGCCAUCGCCGCCCCUCCUCCUCCGCCGGGGCCGGAGGCGACCGCCCCGGCCCCUCUACUGCGACCUCCUGAAGGACCGCUCCCUCCUGCCGCGGCAGCAGUCCCCCUGCCUCCUCGUCCACCGCUACGGCUGCUACCGCGAAGAGCCGCCCCGCCUCCCGCGCGCCCCGCCGCCCUCCCCCUCCUUCGCCGUCGAGUACCUGGGGUACCUGGCGCGGCGCUACGUCGCCGUAUUCGCCUACUAGUUCUUGGCGCUCAGGCGGCGCUCCAGUGCCCUCUCCUUCGUCCGGAUGUAUCGCCUCGAGCUCAGCGACCAGUGGGUCGAGCUUCUCCUCUUGCGGGUGGACAGGUUUCUUGUCCUCCUCCGUUUGGUCUCUGCCGACUUUCUCGAGUUCCUUUUUAACUGAGGUCAGUAAUAACGUUUUUGCGGCAGUGUUCUAGAAUCUUCUUGUUUGAGUUACCUCACCAUCUGUACUCGGUUCGAGUCAUCGGUAGGGGAAUGUCGAUACAUCUAAAACUAAACAAACAGACAGUAAGGAGACAAAUAACCUCAAUUGAGUCAACAACAUUGAAUCAUCUAUAUCGUAUUUGUCGAAUUUACCUUAGUAUUACACAUCUCGCCUUCCGACGCAAACUCGUUUUACCUUAGAGUAGUCGUCGAAUAUAAGACAGA
RNAcentral lists this ribosomal RNA (1625 nucleotides) under Triticum aestivum (bread wheat). RNAcentral's name for it is "partial small subunit ribosomal RNA". Lineage: Eukaryota; Viridiplantae; Streptophyta; Magnoliopsida; Poales; Poaceae. The record is from RNAcentral.